Molecule: ribosomal RNA, 570 nt
Filed under: uncultured archaeon
Lineage: Archaea
Description: bacterial SSU rRNA
Rfam family: Archaeal small subunit ribosomal RNA
Source: RNAcentral
CGCGAAUCGCCCUUCGGGGCGCACCAGGCGCGAAUACUUUACAAUGCUUGAAACCGUGAUUAGGGGACACCUAGUGCCAGCAUCUUAUGUCUGGCUGUCAGGGUGUGUAAAAUACUGCCUGUAACCUAGGGACGGUCAAUUACCGGUGUCAACUACCCCGGUAUCUCAGCCGGUCCGAGUGCCGAUCUUGAUUAUUGUGUCUAAAGGGUCCUUAUCCGGUUUGGUCAUUCCUCCGGGAAAUCUGAUAGCUCAUCUAUUAUGCUUUCCGGGGAUACUGCCUAACUUGGAACCGGGAGAGGUAAGAGGUACUACAGGGGUAGGAAUGAAAUCUUGUAUUCCCUGUGGGAUCUCCUGUGACAAAUGCGUCUUACCAUAACGGGUUCUACGGUCAGGGACUAAAGCUGGGGGCUCGAACCGGAUUAGAUACCCGGGUAGUCGCAGCCGUAAUUGAUGCUCCCUAGGUGUCAGGUAUGUUUCAACCGUGUCUGGUGCCGCAGGGAUACCGUGAAGCUAGCCAUUUGGUUAUUACGGUUGCAAGGCUGAUACUUAUUUGAAUUGUGGGGGGACCAC